GGUGAACGCUGGCGGCGUGCCUAAUACAUGCAAGUCGAGCGAACGGACGAGAAGCUUGCUUCUCUGAUGUUAGCGGCGGACGGGGGAGUAACACGUGGAUAACCUACCUAUAAGACUGGGAUAACUUCGGGAAACCGGAGCUAAUACCGGAUAAUAUUUUGAACCGCAUGGUUCAAAAGUAAAAGACGGUCAUGCUGUCACUUAUAGAUGUAUCCGCGCUGCAUUAGCUAGUUGGUAAGGUAACGGCUUACCAAGGCAACGAUGCAUAGCCGACCUGAGAGGGUGAUCGGCCACACUGGAACUGAGACACGGUCCAGACUCCUACGGGAGGCAGCAGUAGGGAAUCUUCCGCAAUGGGCGAAAGCCUGACGGAGCAACGCCGCGUGAGUGAUGAAGGUCUUCGGAUCGUAAAACUCUGUUAUUAGGGAAGAACAUAUGUGUAAGUAACUGUGCACAGCUUGACGGUACCUAAUCAGAAAGCCACGGCUAACUACGUG
RNAcentral lists this ribosomal RNA (497 nucleotides) under uncultured bacterium. Its description in RNAcentral is "partial 16S ribosomal RNA". It matches the Rfam family "Bacterial small subunit ribosomal RNA", at positions 28 to 507 of the family's 1533-position model. The record is from RNAcentral.